GCUCCCGUGGCUUAGUGGCUAUAGCGGUCGCCUAGUAAGCGACAGGUCGAGGGUUCAAAUCCCUCUGGGGGCU
Molecule: transfer RNA, 73 nt
Filed under: Candidatus Woesearchaeota archaeon
Lineage: Archaea; Nanobdellati; Candidatus Woesearchaeota
Description: tRNA-Thr
Rfam family: tRNA
About the family: Transfer RNA (tRNA) molecules are approximately 80 nucleotides in length. Their secondary structure includes four short double-helical elements and three loops (D, anti-codon, and T loops).
Source: RNAcentral